Molecule: ribosomal RNA, 524 nt
Filed under: uncultured bacterium
Lineage: Bacteria
Description: partial 16S ribosomal RNA
Rfam family: Bacterial small subunit ribosomal RNA
Source: RNAcentral
GACGAACGCUGGCGGCGUGCCUAAUACAUGCAAGUCGAGCGCAGGAAACUGACGGAACUCUUCGGAGGGAAGGCAGUGGAAUGAGCGGCUGACGGGUGAGUAACACUUAAGGAACCUGCCUCAAGGAUUGGGAUAACUCCGAGAAAUCGGAGCCAAUACCGGAUAGUUCAACGUAACGCAUUGUCCGCUGCUGAAAGGCGCUCCGGCGUUCCCUUGAGCUGGGCUUGCGGUGCAUUAGCUAGUUGGUGGGGUAACGGCCCACCAAGGCCACGAUGCAUAGGCGACCUGAGAGGGUGAUCGGCCACACUGGGACUGAGACACGGCCCAGACUCCUACGGGAGGCAGCAGUAGGGAAUCUUCCACAAUGGACGAAAGUCUGAUGGAGCAACGCCGCGUGAGUGAUGAAGGUUUUCGGAUCGUAAAACUCUGUUGUAAGGGAAGAACACGUACGAGAGGAAAUGCUCGUACCUUGACGGUACCUUACGAGAAAGCCACGGCUAACUACGUGCCAGCAGCCGCGGUAA